This 460-nucleotide ribosomal RNA is filed under the name uncultured bacterium. RNAcentral's name for it is "partial 16S ribosomal RNA". It matches the Rfam family "Bacterial small subunit ribosomal RNA", at positions 338 to 795 of the family's 1533-position model. The record is from RNAcentral.
CCUACGGUGGGCUGCAGUGAGGAAUAUUGGUCAAUGGCCGGAAGGCUGAACCAGCCAAGCCGCGUGAAGGACGAAGGUGCCAAGCAUUGUAAACUUCUUUUGUCAAGGGACAAAAUCAGGCUCGAGAGCCUGACCGAGGGAACUUGAAGAAAAAGCAUCGGCUAACUCCGUGCCAGCAGCCGCGGUAAUACGGAGGAUGCGAGCGUUCUCCGGAUUUAUUGGGUUUAAAGGGUGCGUAGGCGGACUGUUAAGUCAGCGGUAAAAGCCCGGGGCCCAACCCCGGGACUGCUCUUGGAACUGCGUGGCUAGAGUGCAGGAGGGGCAGGCGGAAUUCCUGGUGUAGCGGUGAAAUGCGUAGAUAUCAGGAGGAACACCGGUGGCGAAGGCGGCCUGCUGGACUGCAACUGACGUUGAGGCCCGAAAGCGUGGGGAGCAAACAGGAUUAGAUACCCGGGUAGUC